CCUACGGGAGGCAGCAGUGGGGAAUAUUGCACAAUGGGGGGAACCCUGAUGCAGCGACGCCGCGUGGGUGAGGAAGUACUUCGGUAUGUAAAGCCCUAUCAGCAGGGAAGAAAAUGACGGUACCUGACUAAGAAGCCCCGGCUAACUACGUGCCAGCAGCCGCGGUAAUACGUAGGGGGCAAGCGUUAUCCGGAUUUACUGGGUGUAAAGGGAGCGUAGACGGCGUGCCAAGUCUGGUGUGAAAGGCCGGGGCCCAACCCCGGGACUGCAUUGGAAACUGGCAUGCUGGAGUGCAGGAGGGGCAAGCGGAAUUCCUAGUGUAGCGGUGAAAUGCGUAGAUAUUAGGAGGAACACCGGUGGCGAAGGCGGCUUACUGGACUGUAACUGACGUUGAGGCUCGAAGGCGUGGGGAGCAAACAGGAUUAGAUACCCUAGUAGUC
This 440-nucleotide ribosomal RNA is filed under the name uncultured bacterium. Its description in RNAcentral is "partial 16S ribosomal RNA". It matches the Rfam family "Bacterial small subunit ribosomal RNA", at positions 338 to 795 of the family's 1533-position model. The record is from RNAcentral.